GACGAACGCUAGCUGUGUGCUUAACACAUGCAAGUCGAACGUAAAUGCCCUGCUGUUGUGGGGUGCUCAAGUGGCGAACUGGUGAGUAACACGUUAUUAACCUGCCCUUGUCUUUGGGAUAACUUCCGGAAACUCGGGCUAAUACCUGAUAGGUGCUCCUGCUCCAUGGUGUUGGUUGGAAAUUUUCGGCGGUUGUGGAUGGAGUCGCGGCUUAUCAGGUUGUUGUUGGGGUAGUUGCUUACCAAGGCUUUGGACGGUGGCCGGCCUGAGAGGGUGACCGGCCAAAUUGGGAAUGAGAUACGGCCCAGAAUCCUAAGGGAGGCAGGAGGGGGGAAUAUUGCAAAAAGGGCGGAAGCCUGAUGCAGCAAAGACGGGUGCGGGAUGAAGGCCUUAGGGUUGUAAAAAGCUUUCGCCAGUGACGAAGCGUGAGUGACGGUAAUGGGUAAAGAAGCACCGGCUAACUACGUG
RNAcentral lists this ribosomal RNA (468 nucleotides) under uncultured bacterium. RNAcentral's name for it is "partial 16S ribosomal RNA". It matches the Rfam family "Bacterial small subunit ribosomal RNA", at positions 28 to 507 of the family's 1533-position model. The record is from RNAcentral.